RNAcentral lists this ribosomal RNA (465 nucleotides) under Segatella oris. RNAcentral's name for it is "bacterial SSU rRNA". It matches the Rfam family "Bacterial small subunit ribosomal RNA", at positions 28 to 481 of the family's 1533-position model. The record is from RNAcentral. Lineage: Bacteria; Pseudomonadati; Bacteroidota; Bacteroidia; Bacteroidales; Prevotellaceae.
GAUGAACGCUGGCUACAGGCUUAACACAUGCAAGUCGAGGGGAAACGACGGGGAAGCUUGCUUCCCCGGGCGUCGACCGGCGCACGGGUGAGUAACGCGUAUCCAACCUGCCUCUGACUGAGGGAUAACCCGUCGAAAGUCGGCCUAAUACCUCAUGGCAUCGUCUGCGGGCAUCCAACGACGAUUAAAGAUUUCAUCGGUCAGGGAUGGGGAUGCGUCUGAUUAGCUGGUUGGCGGGGUAACGGCCCACCAAGGCUACGAUCAGUAGGGGUUCUGAGAGGAAGGUCCCCCACAUUGGAACUGAGACACGGUCCAAACUCCUACGGGAGGCAGCAGUGAGGAAUAUUGGUCAAUGGGCGAGAGCCUGAACCAGCCAAGUAGCGUGCAGGAUGACGGCCCUAUGGGUUGUAAACUGCUUUUAUGCGGGGAUAAAGUGAGGGACGUGUCCUUCAUUGCAGGUACCGC